This 429-nucleotide ribosomal RNA is filed under the name uncultured eukaryote. Its description in RNAcentral is "bacterial SSU rRNA". It matches the Rfam family "Eukaryotic small subunit ribosomal RNA", at positions 592 to 1012 of the family's 1831-position model. The record is from RNAcentral.
CAAUAGCGUAUAUUAAAGUUGUUGCGGUUAAAAAGCUCGUAGUUGGAUUUCUGUUGAGAGCAGCGGGUCACUCCUAUGGAUGUGUAUCUUGUUUGAUCUCGGCAUCCUCUCGAAAUACGGUUUUGCGCUUGAUUGCGUGGGCUAGUAUUCGGGACUUUUACUUUGAGGAAAUUAGAGUGUUCACGGCAGGCCAUUGCCCUGAAUAUAUUAGCAUGGAAUAAUAAUAUAGGACAUUUGUUCUUGUUUUGUUCGGCCCUACGAACGAAUGUAAUGAUUAAUAGGGACAAGUUGGGGGCAUUCGUAUCAACACGUCAGAGGUGGAAUUCUUGGUAUUGUGUUGCGACGAACUACUGCGAAAGCUAUUUGCCGAAGGAUUGUUUUCUAUUGAUCAAAGAAACGAAAAGGUAAGGGAGUACGAAGAUGAUCAGA